GCAGCUGCAGCCAGCUGUUCCUCGUUCUUGCGCUGCAGAGAAAUACUCAAAUUAGACACAUGAUCAUACUUCAGAUGUGUUGGUACGUAGCAUCUGCAGUCUGAACCGGCAUAUGCACAUAGGAUAUCACACGAGGAUACGAGAUCUUCGUUCUCCUUGCGCAGCGUUACCUCCUGCUCGACGCCGAUACAGGAAAAACGAACAACGGUGUAUGAAACUGAUAUUUUUGUGAUUUCAGGUUUCUGUAGCACAACAAGGUGGUGACGUUACUACCUUCUGUUUCAGCUUAGCGAGCUGCUCUUCAAAGAGCCGUGCCUGGAAUGCAAGAUAAGCAAGUACCGUUACAUUGUCGUCUCAGCCUCUGUGCAUAUGUGGAUUCAUUGUUGGCUAGAAUCGAAUGUAGAGUGGCGAAUAGCUAACCUUUAUAGCUCUGAUGCUAACAAGGCUUUUCUCAAUCUUGACCUCUAAGCUUUGCAGUUCUUCAAUAGCGCAUUCUUCCAAAUUACAACCCAGAAGUUUCCUGCAUCUCAACAGCACUAGAUGGUCACACACGGUUUUUCGCUAGUACACGCUACCGGUCUCCUGAAAACCGAAAUGGUUACCUUUUGUAAGCAUCAAGUGCUUCAAGCUUCUUUGACAAA
Lolium perenne is the source of this 641-nucleotide non-coding RNA. Lineage: Eukaryota; Viridiplantae; Streptophyta; Magnoliopsida; Poales; Poaceae. The record is from RefSeq and is a predicted model, not a curated record.